Molecule: long non-coding RNA, 249 nt
Filed under: Lathyrus oleraceus (garden pea)
Lineage: Eukaryota; Viridiplantae; Streptophyta; Magnoliopsida; Fabales; Fabaceae
Description: Pisum sativum (pea) long non-coding RNA (PSAT_LNC027050)
Source: RNAcentral
UUAGAUGCAGAUAAAUGCAAAAUGUGAAUGAUGCUGAUGCAUGAAUGCAAUGCACUGUACCAUCCUCCAAGUCAUCUGAACAUCCACUACACUGAGUUACGGUCUCGAAACUGAUCACAACCAUCUGAGGUACGGAGUAACCACAAUUCCGACUUAGGGUUCCGAAAUAAAUGGGACCGAAGGAUAUACCACCAUCAUCAUUGGAAAGUCACUGAUCUGAUAACGACAUGAUCGCCUGUACCAACCCAG